Molecule: unclassified non-coding RNA, 200 nt
Filed under: Tremellomycetes sp.
Lineage: Eukaryota; Fungi; Basidiomycota; Tremellomycetes
Description: partial internal transcribed spacer 2
Source: RNAcentral
UUAAGUUCAGCGGGUAGUCCUACCUGAUUUGAGGUCAGAGCAUAAAUAUUGGGGUUAUCAGCAGCGACCACUUCAUAGACGAAACUUAUUACGCCUACUACGCGUCCACCGCUAAGUCAUUUAAGUCGAGCCGACGGCAACGACCACGUCCACACUAAGGAAACCCUUAGGUGAGAUUUCAUGACACUCAAACAGGCAUG